GUAGUAGGUGAUCGUGGCCUUCCUUGGGAUCCCUGUUUCCCCCUUUUAUUCCCUUUUCACCCAGUAAAACCCUGCUUUGCUCACUCUUUAAAGCAUCUGUGAGCGUAAAUUUUUGUGGCCAUGGGAUGGACAAGAACCACAUGUUUACCUGAAGUCCUGUGACAUUUUGGUGUGCAGCAUGGGAGCUCCAAAAGUGACAUUCUUUCAGAUGCCAGAGGAUGCUAUAGAAAAAUGCGUGCCCUCUUGUAAUACUUUGUUCAAGUUCUGAUCAGAAGGAUGAAUGAUGGAGCCCAAGAAGCCAGCUGAAAUGGCUGUAGCCAAAUUGCCACCAUCUUUUAAGAAAAGCCAAUGUCAAGGCUGGAGCAGGAGAGAAGGGGACCUGCUGUUAAUGACAAUGCUGAGCCAUUGACUCCACCCAUGCUGAAGACUGCUCAAAGGCUAGAAGUUGUGCUAUUAUAUAUGCAAGAUUCUUAUUGUCUAGGUAUUUAGGCUGGAAUCCAGUGGCAUGAUCUCGGCUCAGUGCAACCUCCGCCUCCUGGGUUCAAGCAGUUCUCCUAGAUCAGCAUCAGCGUCCCGAGUAGCUGGGAUUACAGGCACCCGCCACCAUGCCUGGCUAAUGUUGGUCAGGCUGGCUCGAACUCCUGACCUCAAGAGAUCCACCUGCUUUGGCCUCCCAAAGUGCUCGGAUUACAGGCAUGAGCUGCCACACCCAGCCUCCAAAUACUUUUUUUUUAAAUCAAAAUAAUGAUUUCAAUGACUGAGAUCUGUUAUGUAUUUCAACAUAAUCAUGUUUCAUAAAGAUUUAGUCUUCUGAAA
This 816-nucleotide long non-coding RNA is filed under the name Homo sapiens (human). Its description in RNAcentral is "novel transcript". Lineage: Eukaryota; Metazoa; Chordata; Mammalia; Primates; Hominidae. The record is from RNAcentral.